This 497-nucleotide ribosomal RNA is filed under the name uncultured bacterium. Its description in RNAcentral is "partial 16S ribosomal RNA". It matches the Rfam family "Bacterial small subunit ribosomal RNA", at positions 28 to 507 of the family's 1533-position model. The record is from RNAcentral.
GAUGAACGCUGGCGGCGUGCCUAAUACAUGCAAGUCGAGCGAACAGACGAGGAGCUUGCUCCUCUGACGUUAGCGGCGGACGGGUGAGUAACACGUGGAUAACCUACCUAUAAGACUGGGAUAACUUCGGGAAACCGGAGCUAAUACCGGAUAAUAUAUUGAACCGCAUGGUUCAAUAGUGAAAGACGGUUUUGCUGUCACUUAUAGAUGGAUCCGCGCCGCAUUAGCUAGAUGGUAAGGUAACGGCUUACCAAGGCAACGAUGCGUAGCCGACCUGAGAGGAUGAUCGGCCACACUGGAACUGAGACACGGUCCAGACUCCUACGGGAGGCAGCAGUAGGGAAUCUUCCGCAAUGGGCGAAAGCCUGACGGAGCAACGCCGCGUGAGUGAUGAAGGUCUUCGGAUCGUAAAACUCUGUUAUUAGGGAAGAACAAAUGUGUAAGUAACUAUGCACGUCUUGACGGUACCUAAUCAGAAAGCCACGGCUAACUACGUG